CUUGGCCUCAUAGAAAGAACAUUGUCCUGGACGUGGCCAAAGGACUUGCUUACUUGCACUAUGGUCUCAAACCUGCCAUUUAUCACCGAGACAUCAAGACAACAAACAUACUAUUGGACCUGGAAAUGAAAGCAAAAGUUGCAGAUUUCGGGUUGGCUAAGCAAAGCUUGGAAGGUCAGUCACACCUCACAACAAGGGUAGCAGGCACACAUGGCUAUUUAGCACCAGAGUAUGCUCUUUAUGGUCAAUUAACAGAGAAAAGCGAUGUCUACAGCUUUGGAAUUGUGAUUCUUGAAAUCAUGAGCGGAAGGAAGGUGCUUGAUACAUCAAAUUCUUCGUAUCUUUUGAUUACUGAUUGGGCAUGGACGCUAGCAAAAUCUGGAAAUAUAGAGCAAAUCUUUGAUGAAUCCAUUAGGGAGGAAGGACCAAAAGGGGUAAUGGAGAGAUUUGUUCUUGUUGGGAUUCUUUGUGCACAUGUAAUGGUGGCAUUUAGACCCACCAUUGCUGAUGCUCUUAGAAUGCUAGAGGGUGAUAUUGACAUCCCAAAAUUGCCUGACAGGCCAAUGCCACUCGGCCAUGAAGCGUUUAGAUCCUCUACCUCUUUCUGGUGUAGU
This 614-nucleotide unclassified non-coding RNA is filed under the name Hevea brasiliensis (rubber tree). Lineage: Eukaryota; Viridiplantae; Streptophyta; Magnoliopsida; Malpighiales; Euphorbiaceae. The record is from RNAcentral.